This 492-nucleotide ribosomal RNA is filed under the name uncultured bacterium. RNAcentral's name for it is "partial 16S ribosomal RNA". It matches the Rfam family "Bacterial small subunit ribosomal RNA", at positions 29 to 507 of the family's 1533-position model. The record is from RNAcentral.
AGUGAACGCUGGCGGUAGGCCUAACACAUGCAAGUCGAACGGCAGCACAGUAAGAGCUUGCUCUUACGGGUGGCGAGUGUCGGACGGGUGAGGAAUACAUCGGAAUCUACUUUUUCUUGGGGGAUAACGUAGGGAAACUUACGCUAAUACCGCAUACUACCUACGGGUGAAAGCAUGGGAUCUUCUGACCUUGCGCGAUUGAAUGAGCCGAUGUCGGAUUAGCUAGUUGGCGGGGUAAAGGCCCACCAAUGCGACGAUCCGUAGCUGGUCUGAGAGGAUGAUCAGCCAAACUGGAACUGAGACACGGUCCAGACUACUACGGGAGGCAGCAGUGGGGAAUAUUGGACAAUGGGAGAAAGCCUGAUCCAGCAAUACCGCGUGGGUGAAGAAGGACUUCGGGUUGUAAAGCCCUUUUGUUGGGAAAGAAAAGCGGCAGGUUAAUACCCCGAUGUUCUGACGGUACCCAAAGAAUAAGCACCGGCUAACUUCGUG